UACGAAGGGAGCUAGCGUUGUUCGGAAUCACUGGGCGUAAAGCGCACGUAGGCGGACGUGUCAGUCAGGGGUGAAAUCCCGGAGCUCAACUUCGGAACUGCCUUUGAUACAGCACGUCUUGAGUCCGGAAGAGGUGGGUGGAAUUCCUAGUGUAGAGGUGAAAUUCGUAGAUAUUGGGAGGAACACCGGUGGCGAAGGCGGCCCCCUGGACCGGUACUGACGCUGAUGCGCGAAAGCGUGGGUAGCAAACGGG
This 253-nucleotide ribosomal RNA is filed under the name uncultured bacterium. Its description in RNAcentral is "partial 16S ribosomal RNA". It matches the Rfam family "Bacterial small subunit ribosomal RNA", at positions 524 to 776 of the family's 1533-position model. The record is from RNAcentral.